AUGCUGACCUUCAGUUGGUUGGACCCAUGGAUGCAGAACCCACAGACCUGGAGGGCCAGCUGUACUGAGAAAUGCAGAAAAGAAUCUGGGCAUUUCAGCAGUCACCACAGAAGAGAUGACCCCACCACACAAUGGCUGGAAGCAGGACAGCAUGUGGAAACCAUUACAGGUUUAUGGGACAAGAAUAUUCUGGCCUUUGCAAUCUUGAGAACAGGAAGAAGAAAAUCAACACAGAUCAAAUUUCUCAAGGCAUGA
Molecule: long non-coding RNA, 255 nt
Filed under: Fukomys damarensis (Damara mole-rat)
Lineage: Eukaryota; Metazoa; Chordata; Mammalia; Rodentia; Bathyergidae
Description: lncRNA (ENSFDAG00000024949.1)
Source: RNAcentral